This 253-nucleotide ribosomal RNA is filed under the name uncultured bacterium. RNAcentral describes it as "partial 16S ribosomal RNA". It matches the Rfam family "Bacterial small subunit ribosomal RNA", at positions 524 to 776 of the family's 1533-position model. The record is from RNAcentral.
UACGUAGGGAGCAAGCGUUGUCCGGAAUCAUUGGGCGUAAAGGGCGCGUAGGCGGCCUGUUAAGUCAAGUGUGAAAAUCAACGGCUCAACCGUUGAACUGCGCUUGAAACUGGCGGGCUAGAGAUCAGGAGAGGAAAGUGGAAUUCCUAGUGUAGCGGUGAAAUGCGUAGAUAUUAGGAAGAACAUCUAUGGCGAAGGCAGCUUUCUGGACUGACACUGACGCUGAGGCGCGAAAGCGUGGGGAGCAAACAGG